UGCCAGAAAAUGAGAAUGAACUACUAUCCUCCAUGCCCACAACCUAAGCUGGUCAUGGGCCUCAAUUCCCACACUGAUGCAACAGGCCUCACAAUCCUCCUUCAAGUCAACGAGGUAGAAGGUUUGCAAAUAAAGAAAGAUGGGAGAUGGGUUCCUGUUAAGCCACUGCCAGAUGCCUUUAUCAUCAAUAUUGGUGACAUUUUGGAGAUUGUUACCAAUGGAAUUUACAAAAGCACUGAGCAUAGAGCAACAGUGAACUCGGUGAAAGAGAGGAUCUCCAUUGCCACUUUUUAUAGCCCGAAUUUGGGUGGAGAAAUGGGUCCAGCACCGAGCCUUGUAUCCCCAGAGAGGCCUGCCUCAUUUAGAAAAAUCGGUGUUGCUGAUUUCUUCAAGGGAUUCUUUUCACGAGAAUUGGUUGGAAAAUCAUACCUGGAUGUCGUCAGGAUCCAGAAUGAAGCAGCCAAAAACGACUGAUUGGUAACACCAUUUACCAGUUUAUGUUUUAAAAUUUCAGAAGAAACAACAAAUUAUGUAAUAAGUGGAGUUUCUCAUUCCACUCUGAUGUGGUGAGUCAAAAAAAGAAAAUAAAUUAAUAAAAAGGUUAUCUUAUGCAGCA
RNAcentral lists this unclassified non-coding RNA (616 nucleotides) under Hevea brasiliensis (rubber tree). The record is from RNAcentral. Lineage: Eukaryota; Viridiplantae; Streptophyta; Magnoliopsida; Malpighiales; Euphorbiaceae.